This 56-nucleotide transfer RNA is filed under the name Ovis aries (sheep). It matches the Rfam family "tRNA", at positions 8 to 63 of the family's 71-position model. From Rfam's summary of the family: Transfer RNA (tRNA) molecules are approximately 80 nucleotides in length. The record is from Rfam by way of RNAcentral. Lineage: Eukaryota; Metazoa; Chordata; Mammalia; Artiodactyla; Bovidae.
UGGCUUAGAUGGUAAAGCGUCUGCCUACAAUGCAGGAGACCAGGGUUCAAUCCCUG